GACGUAGGGCGCGAGCGUUGUCCGGAUUUAUUGGGCGUAAAGAGCUCGUAGGCGGCUUGUCGCGUCGUCCGUGAAAACUCACAGCUCAACUGUGAGCUUGCGGUCGAUACGGGCAGGCUGGAGUUCGGUAGGGGAGACUGGAAUUCCUGGUGUAGCGGUGAAAUGCGCAGAUAUCAGGAGGAACACCGAUGGCGAAGGCAGGUCUCUGGGCCACUACUGACGCUGAGAAGCGAAAGCAUGGGGAGCGAACAGG
This 253-nucleotide ribosomal RNA is filed under the name uncultured bacterium. Its description in RNAcentral is "partial 16S ribosomal RNA". It matches the Rfam family "Bacterial small subunit ribosomal RNA", at positions 524 to 776 of the family's 1533-position model. The record is from RNAcentral.